RNAcentral lists this ribosomal RNA (497 nucleotides) under uncultured bacterium. Its description in RNAcentral is "partial 16S ribosomal RNA". It matches the Rfam family "Bacterial small subunit ribosomal RNA", at positions 28 to 507 of the family's 1533-position model. The record is from RNAcentral.
GACGAACGCUGGCGGCGUGCCUAAUACAUGCAAGUAGAACGCUGAAGAGAGGAGCUUACUCUUCUUGGAUGAGUUGCGAACGGGUGAGUAACGCGUAGGUAACCUGCCUUGUAGCGGGGGAUAACUAUUGGAAACGAUAGCUAAUACCGCAUAACAAUGGAUGACACAUGUCAUUUAUUUGAAAGGGGCAAUUGCUCCACUACAAGAUGGACCUGCGUUGUAUUAGCUAGUAGGUGAGGUAAUGGCUCACCUAGGCGACGAUACAUAGCCGACCUGAGAGGGUGAUCGGCCACACUGGGACUGAGACACGGCCCAGACUCCUACGGGAGGCAGCAGUAGGGAAUCUUCGGCAAUGGGGGCAACCCUGACCGAGCAACGCCGCGUGAGUGAAGAAGGUUUUCGGAUCGUAAAGCUCUGUUGUAAGUCAAGAACGGGUGCGAGAGUGGAAAGUUCACACUGUGACGGUAGCUUACCAGAAAGGGACGGCUAACUACGUG